Molecule: ribosomal RNA, 418 nt
Filed under: Trogoderma ornatum
Lineage: Eukaryota; Metazoa; Arthropoda; Insecta; Coleoptera; Dermestidae
Description: partial 16S ribosomal RNA
Rfam family: Archaeal large subunit ribosomal RNA
Source: RNAcentral
UUUAUAUAAAGUCUGGUCUGCUCACUGAGUUUUAAAGAGCCGCAGUAUUUUGACUGUGCGAAGGUAGCAUAAUAAUUAGUUUCUUUAUUGGGAACUGGUAUGAAUGGUUGGACGAGAAAAUGACUGUCUCUUUCUGAUUUGAUUGAAUUUUACUUUUAAGUUAAAAGGCUUAAAUUUUUUUGAAAGACGAGAAGACCCUAUAGAGUUUUAUUUUUGGAUUUUUAUUAAUUUUAGGUAUUUAAUAUUUUAUGAAUUUUGAAAAUUUGAUUGGGGUGAUUGAAAAAUUGAUUAAACUUUUUUUUUAUUUUUACAAAUUUAAUUGAGUAUGUGAUCCAUAUUUUGUGAUUAUAAGAUUAAAUUACCUUAGGGAUAACAGCGUAAUCUUUCUUGAGAGUUCUUAUCGAUAGAAGGGGUUGCG